UACAAUAAGAUUUCCUUCUUCAGAUACUUUAAUACUGUACCACUAUAAACUAUUAAAGGAUAUUUUCUGUUAGUAUUUCCACAGAAUAUCAUAACAAAUAAGUCCCUUGAACAGAACAACUAUGACUAGAAAGCAAAACCAGUGAGGAAAGAAGUCAUCUAAAGGCAAGGACUAUGUUACUUUACUGAACUUUUUAUCCCAGUGCCCAGCAAAGCAUUCAGUUACAUUUUGUAAAUAUGCUCAUUUCAGUAUCAGAUAGUAUCUCCUUUCAUAGGUCAAACGUGAAUUAGAAAUUUUAUUUAAGCAUUCCACAGGAAAUGGAGAGCAAAAUUUAAAAGAGCUAGAGUGACUUUAAGGGUGUUUAAGCACUUUCAAAGCAUUCACAUUUUUACUUGACUUCUACUCACACAUAUCUAUUCACUACAGCUUCUAUCAACUGCACGAACAGGAUUCUAACCCAUCUGCAUGAAAGGUGAAAACAAUUUAAAUACUCAGCAAUGUUCUAAUUGUUUAACAUAGAAAAAGGGUCUAGCAUUACCACUUUGGCCAAAAAUGAUUAGUGUGUCGCACAGAACUUACACAUUUUGGGUAUUUUAACAUUUAUUAUUAUACAAACAAGUAAUAAUUACAUCAGAGAGAGGACAGAAAUAUAAAGAGUUUAUUCACUCAAAUUAGGAAAAAAGUUUGGAGAGAACUUCCCCCCCACCCCGACAUUGUUAAAUGUGGUUGCAAGAGGUAUUACAGGUGACCCUAAUCAGUACAAAAUACAGAGUUGUGUUCAUGUCCAGGACUCUUGAAGGCAAGCAUUUGAUACACAGUACGAAACAGUUUAUAAGGAAAUAGUACAGAGAGAAAGACAAAAGAAGAGAGAGAGGGAAAGAACAGCCUAAAAGUUGGAACCACAAUGAAGGUAUCAAUCUUAAACUACAGGCAGUCAUAGACUAGUUCAAUUCUCCAGAGAUAGUCAUGCAGCUUUCUGAUGAUUCGGAUAGGUCUAAUAUUUGUUUAAAUAUGCAGAAAAGCAAUAGGAAUGAAUCCCUCUGGUAUAUUUGAACUCUUAUUUUCUUUCUUUCUUUCUUUCUUUCUUUCUUUCUUUCUUUCUUUCUUUCUUUCUUUCUUUCUUUCUCCCCCUCCCCCCAUCUCUCUCUCUCUUCUUCCUUCCUUUCUUUCUCUUUUCUUUUUCUUUCUUUUUCUCUUAUUAUGUUAGGUCGGCCCCUCCAGGACAAUGUUGAGGAGAAGCAAGGAUAGUGGGCAUCUGGCCUUUUCCAUGACUGUAAAGAUUCAGCCUGUCAAUUUCUCCAAAACAUCUGUUGGGAUUAUAGAUCUAUUUGGCAAGAAUGGACAUCUUAACAACAGUGAAUCUACCAACCCAUAAAUAAGGAGUCUGGAAUUUUGGUACAUGCUAGGCUAACUGACUCUUGAUGAGAACCCUGAACUCCUACGCGCAAGAUGAACUUCCCCAGAGGACAUUUUAUGCAUGCUGUUGCUAGAUGAAUUAAAGGUGUCCUCUCUCUCCUUAAAAGAAGACCCUUGGAAGCUUUCAGUUGUUUACCUCUGGACUUCAUCCUAUAUGCCUUUUUCCUAUUGCUGAUUUUCCUUUCUUGAAGUUGAUUUUGGUUCCUAUCCUUUUGCUAUAAUAAAUCAUAGCCAGAAGCACAACUAUA
This is a long non-coding RNA of Felis catus (domestic cat), 1664 nucleotides long. RefSeq lists it as uncharacterized. The transcript has 3 exons. NCBI's taxonomy places the organism in Eukaryota, Metazoa, Chordata, Mammalia, Carnivora, Felidae. The record is from RefSeq and is a predicted model, not a curated record.